This 197-nucleotide ribosomal RNA is filed under the name uncultured bacterium. Its description in RNAcentral is "partial 16S ribosomal RNA". It matches the Rfam family "Bacterial small subunit ribosomal RNA", at positions 328 to 539 of the family's 1533-position model. The record is from RNAcentral.
ACGCUCGACACCUACGGGAGCAGCAGUGGGGAAUAUUGCACAAUGGGGGAAACCCUGAUGCAGCGACGCCGCGUGAAGGAAGAAGUAUUUCGGUAUGUAAACUUCUAUCAGCAGGGAAGAAAAUGACGGUACCCGACUAAGAAGCCCCGGCUAACUACGUGCCAGCAGCCGCGGUAAUCUGAGCGGGCUGGCAAGGC